GCCCUUUAGACUCUACCUUCUUCUUGGCUCGGCGGCGUUACUUUCAAUAAGGCUGCAUUGGCUGCUAUGAGUCUUACGCCAGCCUCUUCGGGUACUGUCAGGCGACAUAAUUCAAAACUCAACUUAUUUCCCCUAGCCUUAUUCGCCAUAAAAAUGAUUUACAUGUGCAUUUACAGCCUACAAUUUAUACUUGGCAAUUUCAUCUUAUCAUGUGGUCUCUAGCUGCACGUACCGGCUGUACGCUUCAGAACACAUGGUGAAGUUUGGGCUUUUUCAUUGCAGUCCGAAGUGCUCAUGGAUUUGUUGAAGCCAGCUGGCGAAAGGUUUUGCUCUUACAUUAGCUACCUGUACCAGUUGUAGCUUUCGUCACACACUGAAACACUUCUGAAGAAUUUAAAUAGGAUUAACAGCCCCUUGAAGUCUGAGCCUCUUUGUUGCAGUCCAACAUGUACAUGAAUUUUGUGCAGCCAGUUGGAGAAUGGUGUGGUGAGCUGUUGCAUGCAGACUGGGGUGCUGGUGUCGUUCGUUCAUUUAACUAUGGACCGUUCAGUCGUUCGUUUAUCGUUUCCAUGGUCAGUUUUAUGUUUGAGCUGUUUGGGGUACAGUGGUUUUGCUGUCAUUUUCCAGUUGAGACAUGCGCUGAAAUGGAGCUUGUGCGGACUUGCAGUUGAACAUCAUACUUAAAUGUGUCAUUUGCCUAUGUCGGUGUCCAUGCAGUCUAUGCAGUGUUGAACUGCUGUGCCAAAUAAUCAAUGUUGCCUGAUGGCUGUCGGGCUUAUUUUAUCGGCAGCAUUUUGUCGAUAUGUCGUCUCUUGCUACCUUUACCGCCGUUGAGUUGAUUUGUUUGCCGCCGUUCCUUAGACUUGAAACACCGGUGAAACUAAGAAGACGUUGCUGAAAUUCAAGAUUGAUCAAUAAAUUAUGUAGAUAAAUUACAAGUGCAUAUCUGGGCUCCCUUCUUCAGUGGCCCCGUUUCCCUAAAUAACCACUAACCAACGCCCGCCGGUGGUCACUCACUCGCUGCGACAACCAGGAGGAAGGGAGAUGUUUGGUCGAACGGGGACUUGCAAGGCGCAUGAUUCGAUGAAAUCUGUUGGAGGGUCAUGAGUCUAAGCCGGAAGCCUACUAUGACACACUGCUCUCAUAAUAACUGCUCCUCAGCUCUCUUCGCUCUUUUUCCGGUUUCUCUUAACCAUGGCCGGGUAAUCUCCCUGGUCGAGUCAGUCGGGCAGUGUCUCCCCUUGCUUGACUGGCAGCAAUUUGAACCCGGUCGGUCUGUUUAAUAAAUAAACUAUUUUUUAAUAUGUC
RNAcentral lists this long non-coding RNA (1308 nucleotides) under Daphnia pulicaria. RNAcentral's name for it is "uncharacterized LOC124343391, transcript variant X1". The record is from RNAcentral. Lineage: Eukaryota; Metazoa; Arthropoda; Branchiopoda; Diplostraca; Daphniidae.